RNAcentral lists this ribosomal RNA (440 nucleotides) under uncultured bacterium. RNAcentral's name for it is "partial 16S ribosomal RNA". It matches the Rfam family "Bacterial small subunit ribosomal RNA", at positions 338 to 795 of the family's 1533-position model. The record is from RNAcentral.
CCUACGGGAGGCAGCAGUGGGGAAUAUUGCACAAUGGGGGAAACCCUGAUGCAGCGACGCCGCGUGAGUGAAGAAGUAAUUCGUUAUGUAAAGCUCUAUCAGCAGGGAAGAAAAUGACGGUACCUGAGUGAGUAGCGACGGAUAACUACGUGCCAGCAACCGCGGGAAUACGUUGGGGGCAAGCGGUAUGCGGAUUUACGGGGUGUAACGUGAGCGGAGACGGCAGUGCAAGGCUCGAGUGAAAGGCGGGGGGUCAAACCCCGGACCGCUCUGGAGACUGUACGGCGGGAGUGUGAGAGAGGUAAGUGGAAUUCCAAGUGAAGCGGUGAAAUGCGUAGAUAUUUGGAGGAACACCAGUGGCGAAGGCAGCUUACUGGACUGUAACUGACGUUGAGGCUCGAAAGCGUGGGGAGCAAACAGGAUUAGAUACCCCAGUAGUC